RNAcentral lists this ribosomal RNA (406 nucleotides) under uncultured bacterium. Its description in RNAcentral is "partial 16S ribosomal RNA". It matches the Rfam family "Bacterial small subunit ribosomal RNA", at positions 29 to 526 of the family's 1533-position model. The record is from RNAcentral.
AUUGAACGCUAGCGGCAGGCCUAACACAUGCAAGUCGAACGGAUGGCGGGCGGGUUGUAAAGGACUGGGACACGGCCUGGUGGAGGGGGAUGACUACGGGAAACUGUAGCUACUACCGCAUAGCAUGGGCGGUGCCCGGUUGGGAUUGGCGAGGGGGGGGGGUAAAGGCUCACCUAGGAGACGAGCCCUAGCUGGUCUGAGAGGAUGACCAGCCACACUGGAACUGAGACACGGUCCAGACUCCUACGGGAGGCAGCAGUGGGGAAUAUUGCACAAUGGGCGCAAGCCUGAUGCAGCCAUGCCGCGUGUAUGAAGAAGGCCUUCGGGUUGUAAAGUACUUUCAGCGGGGAGGCGUUACCCGCAGAAGAAGCACCGGCUAACUCCGUGCCAGCAGCCGCGGUAAUUC